This 486-nucleotide unclassified non-coding RNA is filed under the name Hevea brasiliensis (rubber tree). Lineage: Eukaryota; Viridiplantae; Streptophyta; Magnoliopsida; Malpighiales; Euphorbiaceae. The record is from RNAcentral.
GAUUCCUAUUUUAUGCACAAUUAGCUAUCAUGUUAUUCAAAUUUAAAGCUAAGAGUCAACAUAAACGUUCUCGAUUAUAUCAAUCAUCUUCAGCAGUAUCACCACCAUUGUAAUCUGAAGAGUCAUCGCUGUUGCCAUUGCUGAAUGUCAUUAUCAACUCUAAGAUUUCCCUACUUACAGUAGGAGGUUCUCUUCCACGUUCGGGGCUCGAAUUCUGUCUUCGCAGUGAAAACAGUUGCAUCAUCAGUUCCUCCGGUAACGCUAAGCGGUGCAUCCAUCCUCUAGGCUUUGGUUUCUGUUCAAUUUUCUCAGGGAGAGUAGCCCUUUCAAGGGCCUUUGGAGUCCAUAUCUUGACGUCACUUUCAAUUCCACUACUAGCAAGCAUGGUCAUAUGAGGAUGGGGCUCGAUGCAGUUCACGACAUCCUCGUCAGCUUCCAUGACUCGGAUUAGCUCUCCACCCUUUUUCCUCCAUAUAAAUAUUCUGC